AUCCUAAUGCUCUCCCUCCCCCAACCCUGCUGUGUUUCAUUUUCCUCUCAUAUCUCAUGACCACAUAAUUCCUUCUUCAAUGACAAAUUGUAUUGAAUGCAGUGGCCAGUCUUACAAGUGCUGUAAUCUGAAUGAAAAAAUGAAGCUUUCCACUUGAUCACUCUGGUAUAUUAUUAUUUUUAAAAAGAUGGAAGUUGUCAUAUGACAAUGGAGGCAUUAAUUCUCUAACCUAUUCAAAAACUGUAGCUCAUAUUUGCCAAGAAAACAGAAUGCGAAGCCAUGUUUGUGCUUGAGGCAGGAGGAAGCAGAAGGAGGCCAAAAAGUCGCCUUAAUGUUAAGCAAAACUUUGAAUCAGCAUUUAAAUUAGAUAUGCUUUAACGGCUGAUGUUAUUUGAAAGCUGAAUAGCCAAUGUCAAAAAUAGAUUUUCCUUUCUUUCCAAAGUGCAUAUGGGGUCCAGGAAGGGGCUAAAAUAACCACAUGCCUUUCUUGGACUCCUGACUCUCACCCCCCAAAGGGUUUUCUUGUGUAGGAACCAACAAUUCCUUGGAUGGAAACACUGGAUAGGCUAGUCAUUAUUUUGAGAUUGAAGGGACUGCAGAUUCUUGGCAGACCUCUGUUGUUUUUCUAGAGUUGUAGGCAAGUAGUUGGACAAAAAGCAAGAAGCUGAUCCAUGUUGCUGGCUUUGGAUUCUUUGUGAACAAAUGAGACAAGGCUGCAAAUUCAGAGGAUCCUCCCAGAAGAUGAGAUGGAUCAGGUCACCACAUUCUUUCCCUUCUUCCCUGCUUCACACCCUCAGGCCCCGACUCCUGUCUGCUGAGAUCACUCUCCAAACCAAUCUUCCUUUACAAAGCCCUUGUUGCAGGCUGUGCCUUCUGAGGGGAACCCAGGCCAAGACACUAAAACGAUACACCAACGUGAAGACACGAACACAAACUGCUAAGGGAUUAGUUGGAUUGCAUAUCUCUGUGAAUGGGACUCAAGAGAAGUUUGGGAAAUGCUGGACCAGGUGACCCUUGCAAUCAUGGUGCACAGAAUUAAAACCGUCAAGGUCCCCCAUCCAUCUCUGAAAUGGAUGAGAAUCUGAGUCUUCCACGAAGAACAGUGGGAGAAGAUGCCCAAGCCUUAUUAAACUCAUGGAAUGUCUUUGGGUAUGUGUGACAUCAACAAGAAGCAGCAAAGAAAACAAAAUAUUUUCACAAACAUUCAGAAAUCACCAAAUCUUGUGAGUUGUCUGUACCAUUUGUAGGUUUAAUGAUAAAAUGGCACAUGAUGUUGACCUAUUCCAAGGCAAUUGUUGAUCUCAGCUAGGGUGUAAUCUCUGCCUACAGAUUAAGGCAGAGGAGACCAACGAGGGCUGUUUACUCUGUCAUGAUCCGUCCCAGGGGAGGGUGGGUUUUGGACCAGCUAGGUUAUGGGGGUGGCUGCUGAGGAUUCUGAACAUCUAGUUACCUCCCUGUACCUCUAUCCCAUAUACCCUAGGCCUGGUUCUUCCCUGGAUUGGGCCAUCUUUUUCUGAAGGCAAAUUUUCCACUAGGAGGAAGGUUAGAAAUGCCAGUUCUUGGGUUGCACCCCAGAUCUUUGGCAAUCUGUUGUGACAGAUCUUCCAGGCGACUCUGAUGCUGGCUGAAGUUUGGGAACCAUUGCCCUUGGCAAUGUUCCUGCUCAUCCUGGCUUGCAGGCUUUGGAGGCCUUCACUGUUGAUUGAUUUACACUCCUGUCCACAGAAUGGGCUCAGGAAACAAAAGAUUACUUAAUUAGCUGGGAGGUGAGAAAAAAGGGGCUGGAACUGUGUAGGCAGCCACACAACUUACAAAUAGAUUAUGUUCUGGACUUUGGAAGUCAGCUGUUUGGAAUAGAAGCUGUUUUCCUAGGAAUGGUAGAUAGCUUUUUAUGCCAGCACAUAAAGGCAUAUUUAAUUCCGAACUUGGCUGAAAUACUGCUGUGUCACAAUGAAAAUGAGCAGAUCCCAUUGCUCCUGGAGUAUUAGUACCUAAUCAAAGCAGAACAGAACAAUAAGUGAAACACGGAGAUGGUGUUUUAUGUAUGCUGAUAUUGCUGGUCAAAGGAAAAGGUUGAUUUGGAGAUGGAUUAAGAGAUAAAUUGGGAUAGGUCAAGAUUCAUAAGGUGUUUCUGGCUUUUCUCUAGAAUAUGAUGAUACUCAUUCAUUUAGGCAGACUUUCCUUAACUGUGGUUCUGAACUGUUACCUUUCUUUUUUCUGAAGGCAAAUUUGCCACUAGGAGGGAGGUAAAGAAUUCUGAGACCAAUUGGCAAGGGUUGAAAAGGAGAACAGAAAGAGUAAUGGAAUUAGAGAGAAUGAAGGUGUAUUUAUUAAUUAAUAUGAGCAUCAAUGGAGACAAAAGUAACAUGAGUUGUGAGCAAUGAGAGGUGGAUGGGCAUAGGCCAAGGUUAGGAUUCUCCUCUACUUGGCAAGACAGGAAAGAAAGCAGACCUAUGGGGAGCACAUGGGCUGGGAGCUGCUGUUCUGGAAACCUUCCCUCCCACUGUAUUUGCCUGCCCUUGUACGCAGUUCCAUUUCAUGUCACCCGACUCCUUUCCUCUCCCUGGUUACUGAUAGGGCACAAGAAGAUAAGCUGAGCUGGACCAACUCCCUUUUUCUUCCUAGAGAUUUGAACUGAGAAAUAACCAGAUACAUUUCAGUCCGCGAUGGGAGGAGGUUUGCAGCUGGCCGUGAGCGCUUCCCACGUUCACAAAUCAUGCACUUCUAGUUAGCUUUCUUGUGAUGGCGAAAAUACUUUCUUUUGGGUUUCAUGAUGCAUUUAUUAACCAUUCUAUUUUUGUAUCAUACAAACGAUCAGAGCUGACAGUUGAAUGGCUGGGUUUGGAGAAGUGUGGUAGCCCUAAUGGAAUUAAUUAAUUGAAUAAUAUUGCCUGACAAAUGGCUCCAUUAUACCAAAGAGGGCUUGAGACUUAAUUACUGAUGUCAUUUAUCUCUCUAUUUGCACCCCAACAAUAAGUGACUCAUUUCUCAUUAAUAUUGGGUCAUCUUCCAAAAGGAAGAAAAGAGGCCAAAAUAUCAGGCGGGUGGGUUGGGGGUGAAGCAGUGUCUUUGUUCCCUAUCUCAUUAUUUUGAUAAAUCAUAACAGACUCUGUUAAUUAGGUGGGCAGGCUUAACUGGCUGACUCCUGUCCAACAAUUACCUCAGAAAGGAGCACCGCUGGGAACACGUCCUUCCCUUGGGAGGACAUGAAAAGAAGUCUCUAACAAAAAAGGGAAUCGUUCCCUCGGCCAUGCUGGGGGCAUCACAGUUGUCAAGACACAUUUCUAAGACACGUAAGGGCUGGAGCUGUCUCAGGGACAUCGCCUGUGCAUGAUGGUGAUGUCUGGGGAUCUGAUGCUGCCUUCCUAAUCCAGGGCUGAGAUAACGGUUCUCAGUGCCUUGGAGUCCCCCUGGGAAAUGAGAACCUAAUUAAGCAGGGGAACAGGUGUAAAGAGAACCUGAUUUGAUCUGGCCACAUGAAUUGCUGAGAUUGGGCUUGCAUUUAGCUGGAAACAGUGAAUUAACUACAGCCGGAAUACAGCUAAUCCCUUGGUUUCGCUGCGACUGUGUAUAAAACACACUGGACCUGCUGGGGAACACAAACAAAGAGGGAUUUGCAGCGAAGGUAAAACCACAUCCUUGCAUGGGAAGGGCUGAGAAAUGAAUGUAGCCACAGAGGGUGGCCAUGUGGCCCAGACUCGGCGGCCCAUUUUCCCUACAAAAUUAUCAGUAGCACUGUCUUUUAUUCUCAAAAAAUGUUCCAGUUUGGGUAAUAAAUUAAAUGGUUACUUUAUUUCAAUGAGAAUUUGAAGCUGGUUUAAAAUAUUUUUUUUCUUUACCGGAGGAGUGGUAUUAAAGGUUGAGGAGUUACAGGUUGAAUUUUGUCCCCCUCAACAAAGAUGUUGAAGUCCUGACUCCCAGUAUCUGCAAAUGGGACCUUAUUUGGAAGUGGGGUCUUUGCAGACGAUCCAGUUAAGAUGAGGCCAUUAGGGUGAGCCCUAAUCCGGGAUGACUGGUGGCUUUUAAAAUGGGGGGAAUUUUGGACACAGUCACAGGGAGGGAAUGGUAUGAAGGUGGAAGGCAGAGUCUGGGGCAAUGUUUGUAUAAGCCGAGGAACCCGAGGAUUGCCAGCGACCCCCAGAAGUUAAGGGAGGGGCCUGGAACAGAUUCUCUCCCAGAGCCCUCAGAACAAACCCUGCCAACAUCUUGGUCUCAUACUUCUGGCCUCCAGAACUGUUCAGCAAUAAACAUCUGUUGUUUAAGCCA
Molecule: non-coding RNA, 4266 nt
Organism: Chlorocebus sabaeus (green monkey)
Lineage: Eukaryota; Metazoa; Chordata; Mammalia; Primates; Cercopithecidae
Source: RefSeq, a predicted model, not a curated record